GUGAGGAAUAUUGGUCAAUGGGCGGGAGCCUGAACCAGCCAAGUCGCGUGAAGGAAGAAGGAUCUAUGGUUCGUAAACUUCUUUUGCAGGGGAAUAAAGUGCAGGACGUGUCCUGUUUUGUAUGUACCCUGAGAAUAAGGAUCGGCUAACUCCGUGCCAGCAGCCGCGGUAAUACGGAGGAUCCGAGCGUUAUCCGGAUUUAUUGGGUUUAAAGGGUGCGUAGGUGGUUUGAUAAGUCAGCGGUGAAAGUUUGCAGCUUAACUGUAAAAAUGCCGUUGAAACUGUCGGACUUGAGUGUAAAUGAGGUAGGCGGAAUGCGUGGUGUAGCGGUGAAAUGCAUAGAUAACACGCAGAACUCCGAUUGCGAAGGCAGCUUACUAAGCUACAACUGACACUGAAGCACGAAAGCGUGGGGAUCAAACAGGAUUAGAAACCCUAGUAGUCC
RNAcentral lists this ribosomal RNA (445 nucleotides) under uncultured bacterium. RNAcentral describes it as "partial 16S ribosomal RNA". It matches the Rfam family "Bacterial small subunit ribosomal RNA", at positions 354 to 796 of the family's 1533-position model. The record is from RNAcentral.